UCCUCGGUAGCUCAGUGGCAGAGCAAUCGGCUGUUAACCGAUCGGUCGCUGGUUCGAAUCCAGCCCGGGGAGCUA
This 75-nucleotide transfer RNA is filed under the name Bacteroidota bacterium. RNAcentral describes it as "Bacteroidetes bacterium tRNA-Asn". It matches the Rfam family "tRNA". Rfam says of the family: Transfer RNA (tRNA) molecules are approximately 80 nucleotides in length. Their secondary structure includes four short double-helical elements and three loops (D, anti-codon, and T loops). Lineage: Bacteria; Pseudomonadati; Bacteroidota. The record is from RNAcentral.